RNAcentral lists this ribosomal RNA (279 nucleotides) under uncultured bacterium. RNAcentral describes it as "partial 16S ribosomal RNA". It matches the Rfam family "Bacterial small subunit ribosomal RNA", at positions 506 to 784 of the family's 1533-position model. The record is from RNAcentral.
UGCCAGCCGCCGCGGUAAUACGAAGGGAACUAGCGUUGUUCGGAUUUACUGGGCGUAAAGAGCAUGUAGGCGGAUUGGUUAGUUGGAUGUGAAAUCCCAGAGCUCAACUCUGGAACUGCAUUCAAUACUACCAGUCUAGAGUCUGUAAGGGGGUGGUGGAAUUCCGAGUGUAGAGGUGAAAUUCGUAGAUAUUCGGAGGAACACCAGAGGCGAAGGCGACUAUCUGGGCCAUUACUGACGCUAAGGCGCGAAAGCGUGGGGAGCAAACAGGAUUAGAUA